UGGGGAAUAUUGGACAAUGGGCGAAAGCCUGAUCCAGCCAUGCCGCGUGUGUGAAGAAGGUCUUCGGAUUGUAAAGCACUUUGAGCGAGGAGGAGGGUACUGGUAUUAAUACUACCAGGUACUGGACGUUACUCGCAGAAUAAGCACCGGCUAACUCUGUGCCAGCAGCCGCGGUAAUACAGAGGGUGCGAGCGUUAAUCGGAUUUACUGGGCGUAAAGCGUGCGUAGGCGGCUAAUUGAGUCGGAUGUGAAAUCCCCGAGCUUAACUUGGGAAUUGCAUUCGAUACUGGUUAGCUAGAGUGUGGGAGAGGAUGGUAGAAUUCCAGGUGUAGCGGUGAAAUGCGUAGAGAUCUGGAGGAAUACCGAUGGCGAAGGCAGCCAUCUGGCCUAACACUGACGCUGAGGUACGAAAGCAUGGGGAGCAAACAGG
This 430-nucleotide ribosomal RNA is filed under the name Pseudomonadota bacterium. RNAcentral's name for it is "Proteobacteria bacterium partial 16S ribosomal RNA". It matches the Rfam family "Bacterial small subunit ribosomal RNA", at positions 355 to 776 of the family's 1533-position model. Lineage: Bacteria; Pseudomonadati; Pseudomonadota. The record is from RNAcentral.